Molecule: transfer RNA, 95 nt
Filed under: Streptosporangiales bacterium
Lineage: Bacteria; Bacillati; Actinomycetota; Actinomycetes; Streptosporangiales
Description: tRNA-Sec
Rfam family: Selenocysteine transfer RNA
Source: RNAcentral
GGAGGCGUAUCCGGCCUGGUGGCCGGCACGGUCUUCAACACCGAUGUGGUCCGGUAUCCGGGCCAGGCGGGUUCGAUUCCCGUCCGCCUCCGCCA